AAUAUUGCACAAUGGGCGAAAGCCUGAUGCAGCAACUCCGCGUGAGUGAAGAAGGCCCUUGGGUUGUAAAGCUCUUUAGACUGGAAAGAAGUGCACGUACAUAAACAAUGUGCGGGUGUGACGGUACCAGUAGAAUAAGCACCGGCUAAUUUCGUGCCAGCAGCCGCGGUAAUACGAAAGGUGCAAGCGUUACUCGGAAUCACUGGGCGUAAAGCGCGCGUAGGCGGUCUCGUAUGUCGAUUGUGAAAGCCCUGGGCUCAACCUAGGAACUGCAGUCGAAACUGCGAGACUUGAAUGUUGGAGAGGGUGGGGGAAUACCUAGUGGAGAAGUGAAAUUCGUAGAGAUUAGGUGGAACACCAGAGGCGAAGGCGCCUGCCUGGCCAAACAUUGACGCUGAGGCGCGAAAGCGUGGGGAGCAAAC
This 422-nucleotide ribosomal RNA is filed under the name uncultured bacterium. RNAcentral's name for it is "bacterial SSU rRNA". It matches the Rfam family "Bacterial small subunit ribosomal RNA", at positions 360 to 773 of the family's 1533-position model. The record is from RNAcentral.